UUCCCAAAUACUACUCUCAUUCAGGAACCUUCAAAGAUCACUCAUUGCCACGGCAAAGAUUUUAAACCCUUGAUCCUGUCUUCGGAAGCCAGCCCGCGUUUUGGCCCCUACAUCUCUAUACUGCGCAGUCCAGAGCCCACGCUCCAGCCCAUGGGGACUCCUUCCUGGCCUCAACGCAUUCCUGCUCCUGCAUAAGAUGCUGCUGUUUCACCUUCCGUUGUUCCUGUCUGUCCAAGAUGGUGAUGCUGCAGGAGAUCUGCCCUGUGGAAGGGGAACCAAGAUCUAGACUAUUGGUCAGAUGAAGUCAACCGAUUCCUGUCUUGCCAGCUGGAUCUCCCUUGCUUCCUCCAGGAGAGAGGGGGUUGAAAGAGCCAGCAAGAACUGAGAAGGUAAAUGUCACUGCUUCUAGACUG
RNAcentral lists this long non-coding RNA (413 nucleotides) under Neogale vison (American mink). RNAcentral's name for it is "Neovison vison (American mink) lncRNA (ENSNVIG00000001161.1)". Lineage: Eukaryota; Metazoa; Chordata; Mammalia; Carnivora; Mustelidae. The record is from RNAcentral.